AAGGCUAAAUUAUAUUAAAACGUAACAAGAAUUAAUCCUCCAAAAGGUUCCAUCAAAACUCUAGAUAAUAAAUUAUCUACUCAUAAUAGUAUGUAAAAUUACAGUACUAAAAGUCUUAACCAACACUAAAAAAUAGGAAGAAGAAGGGGAAAAACUCGUUGAAUCUUCCUCCUUGCUGCUUACAUAUUCUCGCCUCCUUGGGUGUUUUCUUACCCUAAAGUAGUAUCGCCCCCCUCAAAAAGACGUUUUAUGAUGUAUUUAUAUCAAUUAGGAUUUGUAUGGAGCGGCCUUGAACUCUUCUAUUUCGAGAAGGAGAAGUUGAGUCACGUACUGGAGGUUGGUGCAAUGCCCGACCCCUAGGCAAGCUCCCAACUUUUUUUCUUCUUUGUUUCUUUUCCGUGAUGGGGGUUGGUGCCAAAGUGCCAUACUUGUUUUGAUUCACUUCCUAGGCCAUUUUGCGCCUACCAUUCAUGCAAUGCAUCAAUUAUGGCACUCUCCCAGCUCUUACCUCUCAACUUCUUUUUGCAUUAAAUCAUCCGAUUUUCGCCAAAUUUUAUCCAAACUCAUUCCUACAUACAAUAAACAAAUAAUGAGCAUAUUUCACAUUUAUAAGCACGUGAUCUCCCGCAAUUCACAUAAAAAAUAAUAUGCAAACAUACUAAAAAAUAUGCACUUUUAUCAUUUAUCAAGAAACAAAAUAAAUAGUAAAUAAUAAAAUCUUGAAAGAAUGAGUGGAUAAUAACCUAACAAAAUGCCCAACCCAUUAGUUAAAUUACUAUUUAUUCAUUCUUCCCUUCACCUUAGAAGAUAGAGAUUCCAUCUCCAUAUGUAAUGUUCUCACUUUUAGCCAAAGGAAUCAUUCAAUGUAUAAAUUAAUAUAUUCACUCAAAAGCUCAAGCAUUUCCAGUGUAACUUGAAAAAACUAAAAAUAUUGAAAGAAUGAAUACUAAUUUAACUAAUACUCAACCCAUUACAGAGAUUAACCAACACAAAAAUCAAGUUCUUUGAUUUGUUUGAAAAAACAUGGCAUAAAAUAUGACAAUAUGAUAUUUAACAAUAAUGACAAUAAUACAGGAGUGAGUAGAAUUAGAUUCUCUCUAUGAAAUUUUCAAUCGUUCAAACACUUCAAACGCGGCCUUAUUUUGAAAAAAAUUGUCAUUAUUUUGGUAAUUCCGUUAUUAAUAGAAAAAGAAAUAGAAUAAUUAAUUUAAUGGAGCCAAGAAAAUUUGGAGCCGUUACUCAUCGCUAUCAUAAAAUACAUCAAUUUUAGUGUAAGCCACAUUUAUUGCCUAAUAACUUUUUACUAAGACCGUACUUAUCGUUAUUGAAAAGAAAACUAUUUUUAUGCAUUGAUGCCCAAACCAAGAAAUGGAUGAUUAAAAAGUUUUUUUUUUUUUUUUUUUUUUUUAAAAAAAGAAGGAAUUCUUUCAGUACGUAUACUCUUCGGGAGAAAAAUUCCACAGUUUAUGGAUGGAAAGUUCUCUUAAAAAGAGUCUUGAUACAAUGUUGGACAUAAAAAUUUCUGGAAGGGAUUGAAAAAAGUGCUUUACUGUGUUUGGGUUCUGAGCCACUCAUACAUACUCCCUCCGGUUCAAAAUAAGUUAUUUUUUGGCCUUUUUCUUGUGGUCCAAAAUAAGUGAUUUUUCUAGAUUUCAAGAAUGAAUUAAUUAUUUUUUUCCUACAUUGUCCUUGGAGUAAAUAGUGUUGGAAUAUGUGUUAGGAGUGUUUAUGUGAGAUAGUAAAGGUUAAUAUGGUCAAUUCCAUUGCUAAUUAAUGCUAAAAAGUGAAUUUCUUAAUCUGUGUGAAACAUCCAAAAAAUCACUUAUUUUGGACCGGAGGAAAUAUAUAUUUAAAGAUUACCAAUAUUUUGUUUCGUCACUUACAAGUUAGAGCUUCCCCCAGUUCGAGAAUCCAUCAACUACCCCGACGCACUUAGAUACACCUCAACAAAUUCUCUAGGACCAACCUAUAAACAAACUUUGCACGCUGACCACAUCCCCACACUCUCCAAUGAACUCAAUCUUUGUCACCUCGAUCUAUCCGAUAAAUUCCCAAUUGACCCAUCCCAGGACAAUUUCAUCCCACUCACAGUAGCAGAUAAAUCGAGACUACACUCUCCUUGGCAAUACAAAAAGUCUUUGGGCGAAAUAUUAGCCAUUUAACCCUACAGCAAAAGCUCACAACGUUAUGGAACCCCACAGAAAAAUUAUCUCUUAUAGAUUUGGGUAAUGACUUCUUCCUUAUUAAAUUCCAAAAGGAAGAAAACAUAACUAAUAGCCUGUUUGGCCAAAAAUUGAGAUGUUUGGCCAAACUUUUGAAAGGAAAAAAGUGUUUUUGAGGAGAAGCAGAAACAGUUUUGGAGAAGCAGAAAAAAAUAGCUUCUCUCCAAAAGCACUUUUCUGAGAAGCAUUUUUGAGAAAAAUACACUUAGAAACAGUUUUCAAAAGCUUGGCCAAACACUAAUUACUGCUCAAAAGUGUUUUUCUAAUUAAUUAGUCAAUCACAAACUACUUCUCACCAAAAUCACUUUUUUAAAAGCACUUUUUUUAAAAGUACUUUUGAGAAAAGUACUUCUCAAAAUAAGCUGAUUUUAGAAGCUUGGCCAAACGGGCUAUAAAGCUUUGCAUGAGGGACCAUGGUUUGUCCUAAGCCACAUCUUAUCUGUGCGCAAAUGGGAAACUAAGUUCAUUGCAUAUAAUAAUCAACUUACCUACUCAGCCAUAUGAAGUCGUCUUCCUGAGUUGCCCACUGAGUUCUACGAUUUUGAAGUCCUUAGCAAAGUAGGUAGUAAAAUCGGCAAACUACUUAAGGUGGAUGCUUGUACCUCAUUAAACACUGGGGCUGUUAUGCAAGAAUUUAUGUUGAAGUACCUAUUGAACAACCUCAUACUUCCCAUGUAUAUAUUGGC
RNAcentral lists this long non-coding RNA (2908 nucleotides) under Nicotiana tabacum (common tobacco). RNAcentral's name for it is "long non-coding RNA (NTAB_LNC009747)". Lineage: Eukaryota; Viridiplantae; Streptophyta; Magnoliopsida; Solanales; Solanaceae. The record is from RNAcentral.